This 107-nucleotide small nuclear RNA is filed under the name Myotis davidii. The record is from RNAcentral. Lineage: Eukaryota; Metazoa; Chordata; Mammalia; Chiroptera; Vespertilionidae.
AUGCUCGCUUCGGCAGCACGUAUACUAAAAUUGGAAUGAUACAGAUAAGAUUAGCAUGGCCCCUACGCAAGGAUGACAUGCUAAUUCAUGAAGCGUUCCAUUUAAAA